AGACCAUUCAAAUGGCAAGAGAAUAUGGUAUCAAAGAAUUUGUUAUCAUAACUGAUUCCAACUAUGUUCGCAACAGUUUUGUUGAAUAUCUGCCUAGCUGGAAACGUAACCAAAUGCUGAAAAGCAAUAACAAACCUGUUAAACAUGGGAAAUUGUUUUGUAAAAUCGAUGAGUUGGUUAAGGAAAAUGGUUUAACCAUAUAUUGGAAGAAAACCAAAGGCCAUUCUAAAGUAGAAGGUAUUGACAAGGAUGGUAAUGACUUAGCCGAUUCACUGGCAAAACAAGCAGCCAUCAAUGGUGAAACCCUAAACAUUGAUGAUCCUAUGGGUUCAAUCCAUGUUGAAGCCAUAACUAGACGACAGGCUAGAGAUAAUGUCGACUUAAACAUCGUGCAAUGGAGUCAAGAAGCUCCUAGUGAG
This 419-nucleotide long non-coding RNA is filed under the name Pelobates cultripes (western spadefoot toad). Lineage: Eukaryota; Metazoa; Chordata; Amphibia; Anura; Pelobatidae. The record is from RNAcentral.